UACGUAGGGUGCAAGCGUUGUCCGGAAUUAUUGGGCGUAAAGAGCUCGUAGGCGGUCUGUCGCGUCUGCUGUGAAAACUCAGGGCUUAACCCUGAGCUUGCAGUGGGUACGGGCAGACUAGAGUGCGGUAGGGGAGACUGGAAUUCCUGGUGUAGCGGUGAAAUGCGCAGAUAUCAGGAGGAACACCGGUGGCGAAGGCGGGUCUCUGGGCCGUAACUGACGCUGAGGAGCGAAGGCAUGGGGAGCGAACAGG
This 253-nucleotide ribosomal RNA is filed under the name uncultured bacterium. Its description in RNAcentral is "partial 16S ribosomal RNA". It matches the Rfam family "Bacterial small subunit ribosomal RNA", at positions 524 to 776 of the family's 1533-position model. The record is from RNAcentral.